AUUAGCCAUCCACAUCAAAUCUCAAUUGAUAGGCAAAUAGAAAAAAGAUGGAGCUUCAACAACAUUUAGGCCAUCCACAUCCACUGGUGUUCAACCAAGAGAUGAACCAUCAAAGUGAGGAGACUUUCUGUUGCUUUGGAUGCAAGCAAAAGGUGAAGGGUCCAAGCUUUAGCUGUUCAGAGUGUGGGUUUUUCCUGCACAAUGGAUGUGCUGAAGCUCCUAUAGAGAUUCAACACCACCCCUUUCAUCGAGACCACCUUCUCAUUCUUCGUCAACUAUCAUCCAUUAAAGGAUAAGGAGGAGAUUAUUGCAAGGUUUGCCAUUGCUACAUUGAACUUGGGACUGCAAAAUCUGUUAUAAGAAGGUAAAUACGGAGCAUGGGAGUUAUUGUUGUUCUAGACCAAAUUGUGAUUUUGUUAUCCACGUCAAGUGUGCCAUUGAUGGGAAUAACACGUUUUGGUAUGAUAUAAGUAAGCUUGAGAAUCUAGAUGAAAUCGAGGAAAUUGAUGAAUUUGAGAAUUUAAUCAUUCGUGUUCUUCAAGAAACCAAAGCUGGGGACAAUGUUGUAGCUGCAGAGAUAAUACAUUUGUUGGGUUUUUCUUUCUAAGAGUAGAGGUAGAAAUACAGGACACAGAACAAGGUAGUAUGAUAUUUUACUUGUUCACAAAUAUGCACCAAGGGAGCUUAUGGCUUUAGCUCAUUUUACUCAUUUUAGCUCAUAUUUUCAAUAAGAAAAACAAUACAUUUAUAGCCAAAUA
Gossypium arboreum is the source of this 758-nucleotide long non-coding RNA. RefSeq lists it as uncharacterized. NCBI's taxonomy places the organism in Eukaryota, Viridiplantae, Streptophyta, Magnoliopsida, Malvales, Malvaceae. The transcript has 2 exons. The record is from RefSeq and is a predicted model, not a curated record.